UACGUCCUUAUGGCUGGUUAUGUAAAACCUGAUUAGGUACCUUCAAAUGUUUGGGAAUACUAAUUAAAAACAUCAACAUUUCACUGUUUCAUGCAUUGACUUGUAUGGAUCUUCAGUGUUUACCUGAAUUCUCACCAAAAGCUUUUUCACUUGCUUUCAGUGACUCCAGAAGAUUAAGGAAGGUGACACAAUCAUACUGAGUGAGAUACAGGAGCAAAGUACGGAGUAUCUUCAAAUCCUGGACCAAAGAUUUUGUCUUAGCUCCAAGCUGAUGCCAGAGAGGAUCUAAAUAGUGACGUAUUGUCUAGAAAUAUAAAUUGGAAAGUUCAGGAUGUCAAAUAUAUAGUACACUAACCAUGCUAAAAAUGCACUUUUUUUUUCCUUUAUAGGGGAUGCCACUAGUUUCCUGAAGUUAUUAAGGAUACCAAAUUAAAGACCUGAUGAGAACAUGCAAUUUUAAUACUGCCUUAAGAACAGAGAAUUGGGAAGAGUUCAUCUUCUGGUGCCCUCAUCUGCUAUCAGACAACUACAGCAGCCCAAAGCGAGCGAGCUGCGCAGAUUUGUUGUGAGAGGAAGUGUCUGACUCUGGAGCUGCACAGAUGGAACGGUGCUGCUUUCACAGGGGAUGUGCUACUCAAAUUUCAGAGGAACAGCAUGGAAAACAUCUUAUCUUGCUGGAGUCCUGCUGCCAGCUGAGGAGUGUGACUGGAGCUCUGAAAACUGCAGUGGCACUGAGGUGUGUGCUGGGGCAACAGCAGGGGAUUC
This is a long non-coding RNA of Chiroxiphia lanceolata (lance-tailed manakin), 765 nucleotides long. RefSeq lists it as uncharacterized. The transcript has 4 exons. NCBI's taxonomy places the organism in Eukaryota, Metazoa, Chordata, Aves, Passeriformes, Pipridae. The record is from RefSeq and is a predicted model, not a curated record.